This 153-nucleotide ribosomal RNA is filed under the name Backusella lamprospora. RNAcentral describes it as "5.8S ribosomal RNA". It matches the Rfam family "5.8S ribosomal RNA". Rfam says of the family: 5.8S ribosomal RNA (5.8S rRNA) is a component of the large subunit of the eukaryotic ribosome. The record is from RNAcentral. Lineage: Eukaryota; Fungi; Mucoromycota; Mucoromycetes; Mucorales; Backusellaceae.
CAACUUUUAACAACGGAUCUCUUGGUUCUCGCAUCGAUGAAGAACGUAGCAAAGUGCGAUAACUAGUGUGAAUUGCAUAUUCAGUGAAUCAUCGAGUCUUUGAACGCAACUUGCGCUCAUUGGUAUUCCAAUGAGCACGCCUGUUUCAGUAUC